This 633-nucleotide long non-coding RNA is filed under the name Rattus norvegicus (Norway rat). RNAcentral's name for it is "long non-coding RNA NONRATT011972". The record is from RNAcentral. Lineage: Eukaryota; Metazoa; Chordata; Mammalia; Rodentia; Muridae.
CAGAAAAAUGCAGUUUUUACUGAAAAUUUGGGGCAGAGGACCCAAGCCUCCUAGCAAGGAGAACUCUUAGCAGUGAGAGAAUGCUGGACCUUGCCUCAAGAAUUCACCAUGUCACUUGGAAACUGGAAUUAAAUCAGGUUUGAUACAGGAAAGUGAACUGUGAAAAACCAAGCAGAAGUGAUUCUGUCUUAAUGGUGCGAUGAGCUGGAGAAGUCGUAGGAAACCAAAAGACAGGAGAGAAGACACCAUUCCCGAGAAGCAAGGCAUUGGUGAAAGGAGAUGAAGGCAUUUUACCAACCUGAACGUUUUCACAUGGGACGUUUCAUGGCAUAAUCUCUGAAACUGUUGAGUUGUUGAGGGUUCCUAAGCCUUUUCUUAGCAUUGAGGUCCUCUUUUCAAUAAAUCCUACUUCUUACUGAAUGCAGAAUCAAAGCAAUCCUACAGCACUAACACUUCCAUUGUUGCAUAUGGAGCUCAGUAUACAAAGAACCCCAGAAGAGAGGUUACAGCUGGAUUAUAGCUGCUUCAAAUAUGUAACUUUCCAUGAAUAGUUUCUGACAUUUUGAAGGCUAGGCAUCCCAAGCCAGAACUUUUCUAUCCAAGCAUGUAGGACAGCAUUCAUUGGUUGUGUGU